UGGCAGUUGCUCAGGUUAGUUAGGAUUAACGCUAUGGAUGUAACUCCAGAGAUAUCAGCCUCACCAAAGAAUGACAUUGCGAGUGCUAAUUCCACAGCAUUAAGAUAUGGUAGUAGUAUCAUGAUAUUGCAGAAUGAGGGAAGUAAAGGAGACUUUCAAAUUACUGGAAGUACAGAAACUCUGUUUCGAAUACCUAUCACUAUCUGGGAUGAAAGUCGAUUUGUCCUGAGGGCCUGGGCUCUCUCCAUUAGUGCUUUAGCAUUUUUGCUGCUGCUUUCUUUGGCUGAUGGACGACUGGCUAUCAUUGAAGUAUCAGCAAUUCACACUGAAGUCCUGGGCUACUUUACCAACUGCCAACGGCACACCUGCCCCAAACUAGACAAGGUCACAGUGAGUAAACACCUGGGAAUGGGCUUCAUGAUCCUUGCCCUGGCCACUGAGACUUUCUGCCUCUUCUUCAUGGGCUUCUCUUUCCGGCCCAUCUUCCGAAGAAUCAAUCGCUGUGAUUUGGUCUUUGGUAUCCUCAACUAUACCACUGGCACCCUCUGCCUGAUCAACUACUGGCAUACCUUCAGGGUUCCCACCUCGCCCUCGAAGCCCGGCUCGAUGAUCGCGCUGCAGGGAUCCUCGUCUUCCUACUCCCAUAACGUGAUGAAAAAACUCCGGGUGGGGCGACGCAGGACCACCUUCCAAAUUACGCCCCAUCUGUCCUAGCGAGCCCCGGCCUCCUACUGCCUCCCUCCACUGGCAUGCCCCCAAUUCAUUCAAUUCAAUGUCCCCAAUAAAACUUGCCCGUCUUCGAGUCCUAGAACUUUU
Molecule: long non-coding RNA, 816 nt
Filed under: Phascolarctos cinereus (koala)
Lineage: Eukaryota; Metazoa; Chordata; Mammalia; Diprotodontia; Phascolarctidae
Description: lncRNA (ENSPCIG00000005077.2)
Source: RNAcentral